GGGAAAAAACCACCCCACUCCUCUUUCUCUCUCUUCUUCGUCUUCUACUCUUCUCUCAGCCCGCACCACUCUCUCACUUCUCAACCUCGAAAGUUCUAGAUCUACUCCCAUGCUCUAAGAUUCCGCCCCAAUUUCAAGUGGAGCAAACUAUUGACGAAAUUCAAAGACGUUGAGAUAGCUUGAGAGGGUGCUGGAAAUUGCAGGCCAUUGCUGCCUCUGGAGCUGUUAAACACAAGGAUAUUGAAGCUCUUGUGGAAAAACAUUUUAAAAGUUGUCAACAGAUCCAAAUGUUUUCGCCUCGAUGGUUAUGCGGACAAUCAAAAUGGGGUUCCUGGACCAAAAUUGAUGGUGGCGGAAUGUGUAUGGGUUUAAAGCUGGGGAUGUGCGUGUGUUGGCUAGUGCUUCCUUCAUUUUAGUAAAUAAGGAGUGGUCUUCUGAAAUACGGCUGCAUGCAUUCAAAAUGCUUCAGGUGGAUAAAAAGCACAGUGUGAGUCAAGGAUGAUAGAGCAUUUUGUGAAGAUCGUUCAACGUGAUAAGGAGAAACAUGAAUGAAGGCCGGGACACUCGAGCUUCAUCAUAUAACCUACUAUCACAGUUAGAUCCUAGUUUUCUAGGCUUUAUUACUUCUUCGGUUUAGUAACAUAGAUAUAAUUUAGGAGGUUUGAUGUCUGGACUAUUUAGUUAGUAACAUUUUUGUACUAUGGAAUUUGGUUAGUGCAAUGGAUUUUGGUUAAUUAGUAACAUUAUCGUGUAUGAUGGAUUUUAACUAUGUACUUUUAUAUUUUUAUAAGUUAAUUUUAAUGUUACGUUGAUCGAAGA
This is a long non-coding RNA of Spinacia oleracea (spinach), 819 nucleotides long. RefSeq lists it as uncharacterized. Lineage: Eukaryota; Viridiplantae; Streptophyta; Magnoliopsida; Caryophyllales; Amaranthaceae. The transcript has 4 exons. The record is from RefSeq and is a predicted model, not a curated record.